This 471-nucleotide ribosomal RNA is filed under the name Pandora pinna. RNAcentral describes it as "partial 16S ribosomal RNA". It matches the Rfam family "Bacterial large subunit ribosomal RNA", at positions 1830 to 2597 of the family's 2925-position model. Lineage: Eukaryota; Metazoa; Mollusca; Bivalvia; Pandoridae. The record is from RNAcentral.
CUCCCUCUGUGUUAUUAUUUUGGGUCGGGCCUGCCCGGUGAGACGCGUCUUAAACGGCCGCUGUAACUGGCGCUAAGGUAGCAAAAUCUAUAGCCCUUUAAUUGGGGGCGUGUGAAUGGUUUGACGUAUGGUUAGCUGUCUUGUUUUAAUUGCUUUAAAUUUAUUUCUAGGUGCAAAGGCUUAGAUUUGUUGGUCGGGCGAGAAGACCCUGAUGAGCUUUACCUAAGAAGGGGGAUAGUUCCUUUGAGGUUUGGUUGGGGCAACCUAGGAGUAAGAAGGAACCUCCUUUAUUUUAUAAUUACUAUAUGAUCCGCAUUGAGCGAUUUUAAGAUUUAGUUACCACAGGGAUAACAGCGUAAUCGUUUCUGAGAGUUCUUAUUGACGAAACGGGUUGCGACCUCGAUGUUGAAUUAGGGUAUCCUCGGGGUGCAGGGGCUUCGAAAGGUGGGUCUGUUCGACCUUUAAAACCCU